Molecule: long non-coding RNA, 277 nt
Filed under: Monodelphis domestica (gray short-tailed opossum)
Lineage: Eukaryota; Metazoa; Chordata; Mammalia; Didelphimorphia; Didelphidae
Description: lncRNA (ENSMODG00000045405.1)
Source: RNAcentral
GCUUUGGCAGACUUUGGAGGUGGAGUUGGCUGGGAGGAGCUCUGAAGCAUGGGUCUAGGUGAGACUGCUUCCCUGAAUGGCCAGGUGGUGGCAUAGACCUUGUGGGAGAUCCAGCUAAUGUGGUGUCAUCCAUCUAUAUUCUCUGUCUUAAUGUCUUCUAGGACAGCAGGCCUUUGACAUUAUGAUUGUAACUCUAAGUUGUUUCAGAGGUCACUUAUACAGUCUGAAAGAGCUCAGAUGAAUAAAGCUAAGGACAAUCAAAUCUCCAGCGCUUAAC